UACAGAGGGUGCGAGCGUUAAUCGGAAUUACUGGGCGUAAAGGGCGCGUAGGCGGCCCGCUAAGUCGAACGUGAAAUCCCCGAGCUCAACUCGGGAACUGCGUCCGAUACUGGCGGGCUUGAAUCCGGGAGAGGGAUGCGGAAUUCCAGGUGUAGCGGUGAAAUGCGUAGAUAUCGGGAGGAACACCAGUGGCGAAGGCGGCUUCCUGGCCUGUUCUUGACGCUGAGGCGCGAAAGCUAGGGGAGCAAACGGG
RNAcentral lists this ribosomal RNA (253 nucleotides) under uncultured bacterium. RNAcentral's name for it is "partial 16S ribosomal RNA". It matches the Rfam family "Bacterial small subunit ribosomal RNA", at positions 524 to 776 of the family's 1533-position model. The record is from RNAcentral.